ACCUUACAAAAUGGCGACGGCCGCUCGAGCCUGGACGCGACCGGGCCCUUUCUCGCGCGCCAGCUCACGCACGCGCGAGUGCGCGCUGCUUCCCUCCCCUUCCCCUCGCGGGAGCCGAGUGACCAAUCCCGAGGCUGCAUACAAAUGACCACGCAGCACGGGGGCGGGGCCUGUUGGUGGUGGCGCGGCGCCGCGGAGGUCAGCCCACCCCCAGCCCCAGCCAGCCAGUCACCACCCUGGAAAGGGUCGCCACUGCUGCGUCAGAGGGGCUCUGAACGCAACCACUGCCUAGAAAAGCGGAGGCCUUGGGGAGUCGCUCACCACAAUGGGUCCUGCUCUUGGGCCCUUUGAGGGGGGCGGGGAGCUAAUGACAGAGGAAUCUCCCCGAGGGCCCUAAAAAGGGGCUUUUGUAGCGGGCUGGCCGGCUUCUGUGGCAGCUUGGGGCAACAUUUCAAAAAUACAGGUGCGCCACAUUUUAAGCAAAACUAGUCAUUGUUUUGUAGCGCUUUAAACAUUAUUUUAAAGUUUGUCAUUGCAGAGGUGUUAUUUAUUGCUACGGAAACUGAGAACCAAGGGGCAGAAAGAUAACCUGGCAGAACUGGGACAGGCCUAAGAGGCAUUGCUACCCAGGCUACGCUUAGUCAUGUUUUGUUUGCUCGUGAGUAUCCGUGGUCUGAUUCUCUCUCACUCAUUGUGUGUCCAUCACAGUCCUGGUCUGUGGUGAGCACGCCAGAGGAAUACUUGGUGGAGAGGCCCAGCGAGGUCCCUAGUUCUGGGUGGGACAGGGUCUCCUCGUACACACCAAGCUGGAAGUCUAGGCAACUGAGUUUCCCGACUGUCUAGCAUUCAAAAUUCAGCUGUGGUCCAAGGGCACCUCCUGGCGGUAAAAACAAGCUUAGGCGUGCCAGGUGCGGCGGCUCACGCCUAUAAUCCCAGCACUUUGGGAGGCCAAGGCGGGCGGAUCACGAGUUCAGGAGUUCGACACCAGCUUGGCCAACAUGGUGAAACCCCGUGUCUACUAAAAAUACAAAAAAUAGCCCGGCGUGGUGGCGGGCGCCUGUAAUCCCAACUACUCGGGAGGCUGAGGCAGGAGAAUCGUUGGAACCCGGGAGGCGGAGGUUGCAGUGAGCCGAGAUGGCGUCACUGCACUCCAGCCUGGGUGACAGAGCAAGACUCGGUCUCAAAAAAAAAAAAAAAAGAAGUUUAGGCUGAUUCCCCACUGUCACCUUCCAGCAAAGAGUAGCCUUUUAUGGAGAUUGAUGGAUUGGGUUUAUCUCCUAGUAGAGCCCGCCAGGGAGGUUGUCAGCCACCAUUCCUCAUUUUAGUGGCUCCAUAAUGGCUUCUCUGAUACCAUCUGGGACACAUUCCCCAGGCUGCCCUCUUCCACCCCAGCUACUUGGAUAUGUUCUUUACCUGAGUUCUUUUUGUUUCUCAGCCAUUUCAGAAGAGGCACUGUCCUUCCAAUUUUAUUUUAUUUUUAUUUUUUGUUUAAUUUUUUAAAGACAGAGUCUCACUGUGUCGCCCAGGCUGGAGGGCAGUGGUGCGAUCUCGGCUUACUGCAACCUCCACCUCCUGCGUUCAAGCCAUUUUCCUGCCUCAGCCUCCCGAGUAGCUGGGACUACAGGCGUGCGCUACCCCCCAGCUAAUUUUUGUAUUUUUAGUAGAGACAGGGUUUCACCGUGUUGGCCAGGCUGGUGUCGAACUCCCGACCUCAAGCGAUCCGCUGGCCUUGGCAUCCCAAAGUGUUGGGAUUACAGGCGUGAGCCACCUCGCCCGGCCCUUAACUAUUAUUACUAUUAUUUUUGAGUCAGGGUGUCACUUUGUUGUCCAGGCUAGAGUGCAGUGGCACCAUUAUGGCUCACUGUAGCCUCGACCUCGCAGGCGCAAGUGAUCUUCCUAUCUUAGCCUCUGGAGCAGCUGGGACCACAGGUGUGGGCCACCCCAUCCAGCUAAUUUAAAUUUUUUUUUUUUGUAGAGAUGGGGGUCUCACUGUGUUGCCCAGGCUGGUCUCAAACUUCUGGGCUCAAGAUGUUUCCACCACAGUCUCACAAAAUGCUGGGAUUCAGGUGUGAGCCACUGCACCCGGCUUAUAUGUGCUGCUAAUUUAAAAUAGCACUAUCCUAUGUUAAUAUUAUCUAAUGUUUAUGCCCAAAUUUCUCCUGGAUUGUUACAAAUGUCUUUUUACAGUUGAUUUCUUCUAAUCUGGACUUAAACAUUGUACAUUUGUAUGCAUUAUGUAAAUGGUGUGUUUUGAGUUGUAUAGCUGUGUCUUACUAUUUUUCCACUAAGGGCUAUGUCGCCGCAUGAUGUCUAACUAGCGAGUAACGCAGUCCUCUGUGGUGUACAGUCACAUAUUGUACCUGUUCAUCUCUGGGCAUAGGGCACUCAGCUUCCAGCUCUCUGUCAUUAUAAACAAGGCUGCAGUGAACAUGCUUAAGUAUGUGCCCUAAUUCUGUGUGAGAAUUUGGGGGGAUAUAAAACCAGAGGUGGAAUUGCUGGGUCAUAGAGUAUACGUAGAACUCACCUGUCUAAGUAGCACUGAAUUCUCUGGAAAAGCUGCACCAGCAUACUCUUCCACCUGUAGCAUAUGAGGGGCCUUGUAUCUCUACAUCCCUGCCAGUGAUAGACAUUAUCCGCUUUUCUAAUUUUUGUCAGUCUAAUAGAUAUAAAGUGAUAUUUCAUUGUUGCUUUAAUUUGUAUUUCUCUGGUUACUAAUGAUUUUAAGCAUCCCUUCUUGUUGUCUUUUUUUUGUGUGUGAUGGAGUCUCACUCUGUCGCUCAAGCUGGAGUGCAGUGGUACUAUCUCGGCUCACUGCAGCCUCUGCCUCCUGGGUUCAAGCGAUUCUUCUGCCUCAGCCUCCUGAGUAGCUGGGAUUACAGGCGUGUGCCACCACCACGCCCGGCUAAUUUUUGUAUUUUUAGUAGAGACGAGGUUUCACCAUAUUGGUCAGGCUGGUCUUGAAUUCCUGACCUUGUGAUUCGCCCACCUCGGCCUCCCAAAGUGCUGGGAUUACAGGUGUAAGCCACCACGCACAACCUUUUUUUUUUUUUAUUAGACGGAGUCUUGCUCUGUCGCCCAAGCUGGAGUGCAGUGGUGCGAUCUCAGCUCACUGCAACCUCCGCCUCCCAGGUUCAAGCAAUUCUCCUGUCUCAGCCUCCUGAGUAGCUGGGACUACAGGCACGUGUCACCACACUUGGCUGAUUUUUGUAUUUUUAGUAGAGACGGGGUUUCACAUUGGUCAGGCUGGUCUCGAACUCCUGACCUUAGGUGAUCCACCCACCUUAGCCUCCCAAAUUGCUGGGGUUAAAGGCGUGAGCCACUGUGCCCAGACUUGUUUUUUGAGAAAGGGUCUUGCUUUGUCAUGCAGGCUGGAGUGCAGUGGCACGAUCAUAGCUUGCUGUAGCCUCUAGCUCCUGGGCUCAAAUAAUCCUCCUGCUUCAGGAGGCUGAAGCCCUCAGCCCUCAGCCUCCCAAGUAGCUAGGACUAUAUGCCCAGCUAAUUUUUUUGUUUUUGGUAGAGACGAGUUCUCACUAUGUUGCUAGUCAAACUCCUAGCCUCAAGUGAUCCUCCCACUUCAGCCUCCCAAAACACUAGGAUUACAGGUGUGAGGCAAAUACACCUGGCCUCUUGAAUUUUCGAGUUUAUGCUUCUGUAAAUUUCCUGUUCAUAUCUUUUGCCCAUCUUUCUUUUCAGGUUGUAGGCUCCUUUUUUG
Molecule: long non-coding RNA, 3712 nt
Filed under: Homo sapiens (human)
Lineage: Eukaryota; Metazoa; Chordata; Mammalia; Primates; Hominidae
Description: non-protein coding lnc-RBM4-2:1
Source: RNAcentral